CUUGAUCGAACCCAGCCAAAGUGGCUCUUCACGGCCCUGGCCGUAGGCGGUCAGGAGCGCUUGCGCCUC
RNAcentral lists this antisense RNA (69 nucleotides) under Amycolatopsis sp. YIM 10. RNAcentral describes it as "ASpks TB sRNA". It matches the Rfam family "ASpks TB sRNA". Lineage: Bacteria; Bacillati; Actinomycetota; Actinomycetes; Pseudonocardiales; Pseudonocardiaceae. The record is from Rfam by way of RNAcentral.